UACAGAGGUCUCAAGCGUUGUUCGGAUUCAUUGGGCGUAAAGGGUGCGUAGGUGGCGGGGUAAGUCAGGUGUGAAAUUUCGGAGCUUAACUCCGAAACUGCAUUUGAUACUGCCUUGCUUGAGGACUGGAGAGGAGACUGGAAUUCACGGUGUAGCAGUGAAGUGCGUAGAGAUCGUGAGGAAGACCAGUGGCGAAGGCGGGUCUCUGGACAGUUCCUGACACUGAGGCACGAAGGCCAGGGGAGCAAACGGG
This 253-nucleotide ribosomal RNA is filed under the name uncultured bacterium. Its description in RNAcentral is "partial 16S ribosomal RNA". It matches the Rfam family "Bacterial small subunit ribosomal RNA", at positions 524 to 776 of the family's 1533-position model. The record is from RNAcentral.